GAUCCUGGCUCAGGACGAACGCUGGCGGCGUGCCUAACACAUGCAAGUCGAGCGGAGACAGUGAGUAGCUUGCUAUGAGCUGUUUUAGCGGCGGACGGGUGAGUAACGCGUGAGCAACCUUUCCCAGACAGGGGAAUAACACACCGAAAGGUGUACUAAUACCGCAUAAGACCACGGAAUCACAUGGUUCUGAGGUAAAAGAUUUAUCGGUUUGGGGUGGGCUCGCGUCCGAUUAGGUAGUUGGUGAGGUAACGG
This 255-nucleotide ribosomal RNA is filed under the name uncultured bacterium. RNAcentral's name for it is "partial 16S ribosomal RNA". It matches the Rfam family "Bacterial small subunit ribosomal RNA", at positions 15 to 263 of the family's 1533-position model. The record is from RNAcentral.